CUGGUUAGCUUAGUUGGUAGAGCUCUCCACUGGAGAUAGAGAGGUCCCUAGUUCAAUGCCAGGACCAG
Molecule: transfer RNA, 68 nt
Filed under: Ixodes scapularis (black-legged tick)
Lineage: Eukaryota; Metazoa; Arthropoda; Arachnida; Ixodida; Ixodidae
Rfam family: tRNA
About the family: Transfer RNA (tRNA) molecules are approximately 80 nucleotides in length. Their secondary structure includes four short double-helical elements and three loops (D, anti-codon, and T loops). Further hydrogen bonds mediate the characteristic L-shaped molecular structure. tRNAs have two regions of fundamental functional importance: the anti-codon, which is responsible for specific mRNA codon recognition, and the 3' end, to which the tRNAs corresponding amino acid is attached (by aminoacyl-tRNA synthetases). tRNAs cope with the degeneracy of the genetic code in two manners: having more than one tRNA (with a specific anti-codon) for a particular amino acid; and 'wobble' base-pairing, i.e. permitting non-standard base-pairing at the 3rd anti-codon position.
Source: Rfam by way of RNAcentral